GAAAGGAUUCCUUAUCAGCAGACAGUUACAGCUCCCACUAGGACACUGCCUUCUCAGCGGCUUCAGUUAUCAGAUAUUCCUGGACAUACUUUCCAAGCCAUGAAAAAUAACGAGAGCCACAGCUUUCCCAGCACUCUGACAAACAUCCAUGAGCCCCCAAAGACCGGGAAGUAAUGAUGAUGCAGCUGCGGCACCAUAGAAGAAACAAGUGAUUUCAGUCAAAGGGCCUGGACUCACGAGCUAGCAACUUUGGACAGAUUCUUGAACUCUCAGCCUCAGUUUCUGCUUCUGUAAAGGGAGAUAACUACAGUGACCUUCAGGUUAUCUUGAAGAUGCCAAUGAGCUAGUGAAAAUGCAAUUUAAUCUGUACAGAACUAAACAAAUGUAAGUCAGUGCUAAUAUUCUGUUCCUAGUGGGGACAUGCCAAGUCUCUUUACUGCAACCAGUGGUUCACAUAUGGAAAUAUUGUGCUAAUUUCCAACUCCUACUUAUAUAUAUGAUUUGUUAACUCUGGAGGAUGCAGCCAUCAGCAUAAGCAACCAACAGAAGAACACGCUGGAUCCUCUCCUUUUCCUGACAGUGUGUCUCUUUUAAUACAAAUUAAUUAAAAGCAGGCAUCUUAAGAGGUGGCUUAAGAAGACUCCUGCAUCAUCAUAGGGAGUUAAAAUUCUGAGCAAAAAGCCUUCUGGAGGAGAAGCAUAGGACAGGCAGCCCCAAGACUGGACUGGAUAGAUGUUGCUGAGCCACCAACUCUCUGAGGGACCUGAGACAAAGCCAGGUGACCUCACCAGUGCUCCAUGUUCUCACCAUAAGUUCUAUAGGACACUCAAAUAUUCUCAGGACAUCAGUUUACUAUACACAUGCACACACACAUAUUUUACAUUUCAUUCAAAGGGUAAAACAUAGACUCCCUUUGUUCUAUAAACCUACAAACAUGUCUGAGCAUUUUUUACAUAAAUAUUUCACAAAUAUUUUACAUGAAUACUUCGACUUAUAAGUCCAUAUUUUAACAAUGGCAUCUUUUCCAAUGUGUACAUUAUGGAAGUGUGGUUGGGGUGUACAGCCUAGGAGCUCAGGGACUGCACAGGCCUGUUCUUUAUGGAUGCAUUGCAUUCAUCUCCCACAGCCAUUUGUAGCUUCAGCUGUUUCUGAAAGCAGCCACUUUCCCUUUUGAUGUCUGAGGUCCAUUAUUUUCAUUUUUGACUUAACCAACAGGUGUUCUCUCUUGAACUCUUUCCUACAUGAGCUGUCUUGCCUCAGGGUUCCCACGGACAGGAGAGUUUUUCCUACAGUGUUACUGAGAGGCACAGAGAAAUCAGUUCCUCCUGGUCCACUGGCUCCGCUCUCAGCACUGCAGUCUCUUGUGACCACGCUGAAGUCUCAACGUUUCCCCCUUCUGAGGACAUGCAGGGACAGAAGGGUGAACCACAAGGGCCAGACCUAAUGCUCCAGGAAAACAAUGAAAGAACAAUUUUCCAUCCUUUUAUUUAGGGCUUAAGUAAGCCAGGCCUGUAACACCAAAUUGUGAGAGUGCACAAGAUGUUUUUGAACCUUGGUGCAGAAUCCAGAAAGAAGUGCAGCCUCUGGUGACAGGGUCUUGGGCUAGCCAUGUGAAGCCUGGCUUUAUGUCAGGCCUCUCAAAUGUGCUGUACAAACCUACCUGCAGGUCUACUCUAGGCAGAAGGGGUGGACCGAUGGCACCAACAAACACAUCUGUACACACAACAGUGCAGCAGACACUUGUGGAUGGGGUAUGAGACAAGCUGUAGAUGCCCUCAAUUAAAUCUGAGGACAAAAGAAGACUGCCCAGAGAGUGGCACUAGCAUGGCAACAAAAUAUUUCAAAAUAUUAAUGGGUUUUACAUACACGCAUAAAAUCACAUUUUUCUGACCUUAUAACACAUUUCAGUCAUUUAGGUAUUGAGUUUGUAAUGCUUGUGGAUACUCGAAAAAUUGAAAGAGGCAAAGUUAGACUUCUUGUCCCCAAGACUGGAAAUAUGUCCCUUCGUUGGGAGUUGGGUGGUGUUGAAUGCAGUUGGGGUGGAAGGAGAGGAGAGCUAAUGGGAAAACAAAGAAUAAGUAAAUGUUCUACAUUCCUGAGAAAAGGGGCCCUGCCCCCUAGCCAUCUCUGCAGCAAAGCCCUGGGGGAGAGAGAGAGAAUGCUCAGACAUGUUUGUAGGUUUACAGAACAAAGGGAAUCUAUGUUUUACCCUUUGAAUGAAAUACAGGAAAGCAAAAUACCUAGAGCAGAAAUGGCUGUGUGACAUGUCAGACAAGGUCAUAGAGUUUUCCAUGGCCCUGCACUGCCCGUGGCUCAUGUGGCAUGACUGUAGGUGAAACCCAGAAUGGACUCUCAAGGUGCCCUGGGCUCCCUUCCUCAAUGGCUGAAGAAGGCUUCUCUUGACCUAAUGGAGUUUAAAGAGACUUGGGGAUAUAGUGAACUAGACCCCAGAAGCCUUUCAAACAGGAACUAGGGGGCGCCCACCAGGACCUUGUGGACUGACAGUGGAGGCUCAAUGAGACAAAAUGUGUCAUGGAGAUGCCUUCAGGACAGACAGCAUUCGGGAACAGAUACCAGCUCCUUACAGUCUUGGCCUCCAGAUUAGACAUGGCCCUGGAAAAAGGUGAUGGGGGACCUGGAAUUACCAGACAGCAAUUCCGUUCCCCCACUUAGUGGAAUGGGAGCACAACAUGUAAAUUAAAGGAAUUAGAGAAAAACAUAGGCUGAGAUACCUAUUGCUGUGGUCAGCAACACCAUGGAGGCUUCACUGUGGGACUUCAGAUUUGUUGGUGAAGAGAAAGCUAUGGGGGUCCCACUCUCCCUCCCAGCUUGAGGUCUCUGAGAUGCAACACAAGGAGCCUUGGAAUGAAUUUCUCCACAGCCAGAGCUCUAAAUCUGGAAGAAGCCCAAGACUACUGCUGGAGCUCACAGAAUGGUCAUCCCUGGAGCAGCAGCCAUCUCCCCUACAUCCUACCUGCCUCCCCAUCAUACUUAGAAGGCAAACCUCCUUCCCCUUGGAGCCUGGAAGGGGAGCGGUGGCUGAGGAACCAGAGGAAAGCAAGGUGGCUUCAUGACAGAGGUCAAGGGGACUAUGUUAGAUAGGGCUUUUUAUGGCAAGUGACAGAAAUCCAGCUUAAAUUAUCUUAAGGAAAAGAGGAAAAUGUACUGGCUCAAGUAACCAGGCUGAGGGAAGGGCAGGUGGCCACCAGGGUCCUGGGACAGUGCAACGAGGACUUGGAACCCACCAGGCCCUUUCUGUCUCUUGUCUCUUCUCUCUAAGGCUCAGUUUAAUUCUCCUGCAGAUUGGUGCCUUCCUUGCAGUAUAAAAACAUGGCUGCCAGCUGCUCUCAUGAGCACCUCUUCCCAGCUUCAUGAUUAAGAAGGAAUGCUCUUCCUUCCAUUCCAGUUAGUAAAGUCCUAGACAAGAAAGCCAAAUGGCCCAGUCCUGUGGGCAAAAAGGUGAAGCACUAUAAAAGACAGUUCCCAUUAACAUCAAGUGGAGGAAGAGGAAGAGUAGCUGCCCAUGAAGGAUUCUCAGAAGGAGGGCUGGGUGCCCAGCAGGCAACAGCACAGAUGUCCACCAGAUAAGGAUCUUCCAGUCCUGGGCCCCCAAGCCUCUGCAGUAUGGUGGGAGCUGCCCCGGGUGAGCAGCAGGGGAAAAGAAACAGGGAUGAGACAGCAGGGCUGGAGUUGCUGAAAUCCUGGCAAAAUUCGAUUUGUGGUCAGAAUGAAACAUGCCUUCAUAACUCAGGUCUUCAAUGCUUUGGGGAACUCAUGUGGCUUGGGAGGCUGAAGGCACACAAGAGAGGAGGGCAAGGGGAUCAGAGACACCCCACAAUUCCAGAAACCACCCUGGGCUUCAAAUGCAAAUGUUGCUGACAUGCAGAAGGAGUGGGGUUGUAAACAUAAGGGUUGGAAAAAAAAAAGAACGCAGUCUGGUUGCAGUAUUUCCACCUGAGCCCUGCAGAGCUGUUCUGCCAGACAGUCUACAAAGCAUGCACCUGGGUCUGCAAGUGCUGGGUGUGUGCUUCUAUUUAAUAAAUAACCCUGGCACACUGUAUAAACAUCAGAUGAACAUGAAAGCUGCAACAUCUGGAGAACUGUCACCAUCUGCCACUCUGAGGGGAGCAUUUAAAGAAUCAGCGGGAUAGGAGCGGUAUGUGGCCUGAGUUAAAAAAAAAUGUUGGCAGCUGCUGCCAGCUAUCAGUUGCUGCGAAUAGCAGUGGUUCUUCCUGACGUGGCAGUUUAUGGACUUUCACAAAUCCCGGGUGACCCCUCACAAAGGCGGAGGCCAACAUACUAACCGGCUCCAAUAGCCAUCACUCACCAAGUGCGUUUACAAGGCUUUGUUCCUGUCUCUUUUGUGGCCUCACAAUGGCAGAUGCACACCAGGUCCCACAACCAGAGAAAAAGAGAGGGAGGUUACUCGUGGAGAUGUCAGAAAAAGUACUCCCCUUGUGCCUGACUUCUUUGAUUAAACCCUUGUUUGAUUUUGUCCAGAGAGGCAAGACUUCAACAUGUAGCUCUAAGUGCUGGGCCAGGCACCCCAGGUUUAGAUGAAAAACUAACGCUGAUAGAGGUAUGUGUUUACAUCAGACCGAGGUUAUACUUACAUUUUUCAUUUGUUAAUAUAAAUCUAAGUUAACCACCUCAAGCGGGACUCAGCAAGGGCUGCUCUUUAUUAAUGGGCUGGUCGUUGCUGUUUUUAAGAGAGUGUCAUUAACCCUAACAUACGGGCUCCUUGUGUAAUUGAACAGUAAAUGUGAUUAUGAUCCCAACUGCCAUCUCCAGGCACUUCUUGGAACACAAGUUCUUUGUACAGGAGAAAUAGUCAGACACA
RNAcentral lists this long non-coding RNA (4840 nucleotides) under Homo sapiens (human). RNAcentral describes it as "long non-coding RNA NONHSAT198592.1". The record is from RNAcentral. Lineage: Eukaryota; Metazoa; Chordata; Mammalia; Primates; Hominidae.